GACGAGCUCUCCAAACGUUAUUCGGUAUCACUGGGCUUAAAGAGUUCGUAGGCGGCUUUGUAGGUGGGGUGUGAAAGCCCUCGGCUUAACCGAGGAACUGCGCCCCAAACCACAAGGCUUGAGGGAUAUAGGGGUAAGCGGAACAGAUGGUGGAGCGGUGAAAUGCAUUGAUAUCAUCUGGAACACCGGUGGCGAAGGCGGCUUACUGGAUAUUUUCUGACGCUGAGGAACGAAAGCUAGGGUAGCGAACGGGAUUAGAUACCCCGGUAGUCCUAGCCGUAAACGAUGAACACUAGUCUGAAGGACUCUCACAGUCUUUCGGACGUAGCGAAAGUAUUAAGUGUUCCGCCUGGGGAGUAUGGUCGCAAGGCUG
Molecule: ribosomal RNA, 373 nt
Filed under: uncultured prokaryote
Description: bacterial SSU rRNA
Rfam family: Bacterial small subunit ribosomal RNA
Source: RNAcentral